AGUGAACGCUGGCGGUAGGCCUAACACAUGCAAGUCGAACGGCAGGACAGUAAGAUCGCGCUCUUACGGUUGGCGGGUGGCGGACGGGUGAGGAAUGCAUCGCAAUCUACUUUUUCGGGGGGAACAUCGGAGGGACACUGACGCUAAUACCUCAUACGAUCUACGGGUGAAAGCAAUGGAGCUUCGCACCUUGGGCGACUGAAUUAGACGCGGCCGGUUGAGAUAGGCUGGGAGGUAACGGCCCACCAAGGCAACGAUGCGUAGCGUACCUGAGAGGGUGAUCGGCCACACUGGAACUGAGACACGGUCCAGACUCCUACGGGAGGCAGCAGUAGGGAAUCUUCCGCAAUGGGCGAAAGCUUGACGGAGCAACGCCGCGUGAGUGAUGAAGGUCUUCGGAUCGUAAAACUCUUUUAUUGGGGAAGAACAAAUGUGUAAGUAACUCUGCACGUCUUGACGGUACCUAAUCAGAAAGCCACGGCUAACUACGUG
Molecule: ribosomal RNA, 492 nt
Filed under: uncultured bacterium
Lineage: Bacteria
Description: partial 16S ribosomal RNA
Rfam family: Bacterial small subunit ribosomal RNA
Source: RNAcentral